This 664-nucleotide ribosomal RNA is filed under the name uncultured bacterium. RNAcentral describes it as "bacterial SSU rRNA". The stretch from base 1 to 540 matches the Rfam family "Bacterial small subunit ribosomal RNA", at positions 338 to 873 of the family's 1533-position model. The record is from RNAcentral.
CCUACGGGAGGCAGCAGUAAGGAAUAUUGGACAAUGGACGCAAGUCUGAUCCAGCCAUGCCGCGUGAAGGAUUAAGGCCCUCUGGGUUGUAAACUUCUUUUAUAGGGGACGAAAAAAGGGCUUUCUAGCUCGACUGACGGUACCCUAUGAAUAAGCACCGGCUAACUCCGUGCCAGCAGCCGCGGUAAUACGGAGGGUGCAAGCGUUAUCCGGAUUCACUGGGUUUAAAGGGUGCGUAGGCGGGCAGUUAAGUCAGUGGUGAAAUCUUCGAGCUCAACUCGGAAACUGCCAUUGAUACUAUCUGUCUUGAAUACUGUGGAGGUGAGCGGAAUAUGUCAUGUAGCGGUGAAAUGCUUAGAUAUGACAUAGAACACCGAUUGCGAAGGCAGCUCGCUACACAAAUAUUGACGCUGAGGCACGAAAGCGUGGGGGAUCAAACAGGAUUAGAUACCCUGGUAGUCCACGCCCUAAACCUAUGAUUACUCGACAUAUGCGAUACACUNUAUGUUGUUCUGNGCGAAGACAUUAAAGUUAAUUACCCACCCGUCGGGAACGGUACCGGACCCGCCGAAGGUUAGUAAACGUAACGAAAGGAAAGUUAGUACGGGACGUAGAGGACGUUCGGCCGACGGACGGACCGACCGACGGGGAGGGUAGGGGUUAG